CGGACGGGUGAGUAACACGUGGAUAACCUACCUAUAAGACUGGGAUAACUUCGGGAAACCGGAGCUAAUACCGGAUAAUAUUUUGAACCGCAUGGUUCAAAAGUGAAAGACGGUCUUGCUGUCACUUAUAGAUGGAUCCGCGCCGCAUUAGCUAGUUGGUAAGGUAACGGCUUACCAAGGCAACGAUGCAUAGCCGACCUGAGAGGGUGAUCGGCCACACUGGAACUGAGACACGGUCCAG
RNAcentral lists this ribosomal RNA (241 nucleotides) under uncultured Staphylococcus sp. RNAcentral's name for it is "partial 16S ribosomal RNA". It matches the Rfam family "Bacterial small subunit ribosomal RNA", at positions 99 to 334 of the family's 1533-position model. The record is from RNAcentral. Lineage: Bacteria; Bacillati; Bacillota; Bacilli; Caryophanales; Staphylococcaceae.